AAGCGGCAACAGCUCAAAUUUGAAAUCUGGCCUCUUCGGGGUCCGAGUUGUAAUUUGGAGAGGAUGUUUCGGGCACGGUCCGGGCUUAUAUUUCUUGGAACAGAAUGUCAUAGAGGGUGAGAAUCCCGUCUGGAGCUCGGACACGACCUAUGUGAAACUCCUUCGACGAGUCGAGUUGUUUGGGAAUGCAGCUCUAAAUGGGUGGUAAAUUUCAUCUAAAGCUAAAUAUUGGCCAGAGACCGAUAGCGCACAAGUAGAGUGAUCGAAAGAUGAAAAGCACUUUGAAAAGAGAGUUAAAAAGUACGUGAAAUUGUUGAAAGGGAAGCGCUGGCGACCAGACUUGCGCGUCGGGGUUCCCCCUUGCUUCUGCUUGGGUUACUCCCCGGCGUUCAGGCCAACAUCGGUUUCGGGGGUUGGUUAAAGGCCUUGGGAAUGUACCUACCCUCCGGGGUAGACUUAUAGCCCAGGGUGUCAUGCGACCUCCCGGGACCGAGGAACGCGCUUCGGCUCGGAUGUUGGCGUAAUGGUUGUCAGCGACCCGUCUUGAAACACGGACCAAGGAGUCUAACAUCUAUGCGAGUGUUAGGGUGUCAAACCCUUACGCGGAAUGAAAGUGAACGGAGGUAGGAAGCCUUAAGGCUGCACUAUCGACCGAUCCUGAAGUUUACGGACGGAUUUGAGUAAGAGCAUAGCUGUUGGGACCCGAAAGAUGGUGAAC
RNAcentral lists this ribosomal RNA (718 nucleotides) under Cyphellophora europaea. RNAcentral's name for it is "eukaryotic LSU rRNA". It matches the Rfam family "Eukaryotic large subunit ribosomal RNA", at positions 96 to 831 of the family's 3401-position model. Lineage: Eukaryota; Fungi; Ascomycota; Eurotiomycetes; Chaetothyriales; Cyphellophoraceae. The record is from RNAcentral.